RNAcentral lists this ribosomal RNA (445 nucleotides) under uncultured bacterium. RNAcentral's name for it is "partial 16S ribosomal RNA". It matches the Rfam family "Bacterial small subunit ribosomal RNA", at positions 354 to 796 of the family's 1533-position model. The record is from RNAcentral.
GUGAGGAAUAUUGCGCAAUGGAGGCAACUCUGACGCAGCCAUGCCGCGUGCAGGAAGAAGGCGCUACGCGUUGUAAACUGCUUUUAACCGGGAAGAAACCCCAGGACGUGUCCUGGGUUGACGGUACCGGAGGAAUAAGCACCGGCUAACUUCGUGCCAGCAGCCGCGGUAAUACGAAGGGUGCAAGCGUUAUCCGGAUUCAUUGGGUUUAAAGGGUGCGUAGGCGGAGCGUUAAGUCAGUGGUGAAAUCCUGCAGCUUAACUGUAGACGUGCCAUUGAUACUGGCGCUCUUGAGUGCGCUUGAAGUGGGCGGAAUGUGCCGUGUAGCGGUGAAAUGCUUAGAUAUGGCACAGAACACCAAUUGCGAAGGCAGCUCACUAAGGCGAUACUGACGCUGAGGCACGAAAGCGUGGGGAUCGAACAGGAUUAGAUACCCUGGUAGUCC